This 106-nucleotide non-coding RNA is filed under the name Terribacillus aidingensis. RNAcentral describes it as "SAM-I sequence". It matches the Rfam family "SAM riboswitch aptamer (S box leader)". Rfam says of the family: The SAM riboswitch is found upstream of a number of genes which code for proteins involved in methionine or cysteine biosynthesis in Gram-positive bacteria. The SAM riboswitch acts at the level of transcription termination control. The predicted structure consists of a complex stem-loop region followed by a single stem loop terminator region. Lineage: Bacteria; Bacillati; Bacillota; Bacilli; Caryophanales; Bacillaceae. RNAcentral also lists the same sequence under 1 other name. The record is from Rfam by way of RNAcentral.
CUCUUAUUCAGAGUAGGCGGAGGGACAGGCCCUAAGAAACCCGGCAACCGUCACAUUUUGUGAAAUGGUGCUCAACCUGAGCAAGGGAUACCUUGAACGAUAAGAG